RNAcentral lists this ribosomal RNA (448 nucleotides) under uncultured bacterium. RNAcentral's name for it is "bacterial SSU rRNA". It matches the Rfam family "Bacterial small subunit ribosomal RNA", at positions 335 to 799 of the family's 1533-position model. The record is from RNAcentral.
ACUCCUACGGGAGGCAGCAGUGGGGAAUCUUGGACAAUGGGCGCAAGCCUGAUCCAGCCAUGCCGCGUGAGUGAUGAAGGCCCUAGGGUCGUAAAGCUCUUUCGCCAGGGAUGAUAAUGACAGUACCUAGGUAAAGAAACCCCGGCUAACUCCGUGCCAGCAGCCGCGGUAAUACGGAGGGGUUAGCGUUGUUCGGAAUUACUGGGCGUAAAGCGCGCGUAGGCGGAUUAGUCAGUUAGAGGUGAAAUCCCAGGGCUCAACCCUGGAACUGCCUUUAAUACUGCUAGUCUUGAGUUCGAGAGAGGUGAGUGGAAUUCCGAGUGUAGAGGUGAAAUUCGUAGAUAUUCGGAGGAACACCAGUGGCGAAGGCGGCUCACUGGCUCGAUACUGACGCUGAGGUGCGAAAGUGUGGGGAGCAAACAGGAUUAGAUACCCUGGUAGCGACUGA